GUACUCGCUCGGUGCCGCUCACUAGCCCGGGGAGGGUGUUAUUUUUUUCCGCCGCUCUCCUAUAACAAUCCUGCCAGCCUGUGAGGGGGGAGACAAUGAAAACCGAGCAGCCGAGCAAUUACCCGCCAGAGGGGGGGUCCUGCAAUUCCGCAAAACAGCCCGCCGCCAUGGCUGCCCGGCCGUCGCAAGGCAGGCCGGGGAUUGGAGUCCACGGCCCCGCGGCUAGGACGUUCAGGGGAUAGGAGACGCUGGGGGAUAGAAGACUACGACUCCCAGGGUACACCACGCCAACUGCACCUGAUGCGCAGGCCGCCAGGGACGCCGUUAAAAACGAGAGCGCACGCGCUUAGACGCGCGUGGGCUGUUGGGGGAUGUAGUCUGUAGGUCGCGGAGGCGAAGUUAAAGGAACGCAGAGUGGGUGCGCGAGCCUUCAGCGAUAUUGUAGUUUUCGUGUGUUUUGCGUCCUUAUGGACAGAUAGAAAGGGAGCAGCGUGGGGAACUACAAAUACCGGCAUGCAACACCUGCAGCUUGUUUAUAGCCUCAAAAUGGUGGUUUGCUGAGAUGUUGUUGGAGCCUGUGUUCAGAAACUAAUAAUUUCACUGAGGAGUGUGUGGGUUUUUGAUAUAGUAGAUAUCCCACAGCAUAACUAAAACAUCGCAUAUUGUCCCGUUGGAAAUGAGGUUCCUGCCAUCUCCCUGAAAGUACAGGUAGAAUAGAAGAGCUUGCUACUGAUGUUGGAUAUUUGAACGCUUACGACAGAAUAAAGUGAGACUAUUUUGAAGGUUGUCGAUUACAGUUGGUUUAUUACUUAAACUGUAAUUUACAUGGAUGUAAGCUAUUACGAUCAAUUCUGUUACUUUUGUGUAUUUGUGCCCCCUUUUAAUGUCUUUCUGUUUUUUAUUGAUUUUGUGUACAUUAUAAAAAGUUGGUUGAGCUGAG
Molecule: non-coding RNA, 940 nt
Organism: Chiloscyllium plagiosum (whitespotted bambooshark)
Lineage: Eukaryota; Metazoa; Chordata; Chondrichthyes; Orectolobiformes; Hemiscylliidae
Source: RefSeq, a predicted model, not a curated record